RNAcentral lists this transfer RNA (84 nucleotides) under bacterium. Its description in RNAcentral is "tRNA-Leu". It matches the Rfam family "tRNA". From Rfam's summary of the family: Transfer RNA (tRNA) molecules are approximately 80 nucleotides in length. Their secondary structure includes four short double-helical elements and three loops (D, anti-codon, and T loops). The record is from RNAcentral.
GCCCGGGUGGUGGAAUCGGUAGACACGAGGGACUUAAAAUCCCUUGAACGCAAGUUCGUGCGGGUUCAAGUCCCGCCCCGGGCA